Molecule: ribosomal RNA, 437 nt
Filed under: uncultured Streptococcus sp.
Lineage: Bacteria; Bacillati; Bacillota; Bacilli; Lactobacillales; Streptococcaceae
Description: bacterial SSU rRNA
Rfam family: Bacterial small subunit ribosomal RNA
Source: RNAcentral
UGUGGAUUAAUUCGAUGCAACGCGAAAACCUUACCUACCCUUGACAUGUCUGGAGCCUUGGUGAGAGCCGAGGGUGCCUUCGGAGCAGAACACAGGUGCUGCAUGGCUGUCGUCAGCUCGUGUCGUGAGAUGUUGGGUUAAGUCCCGCAACGAGCGCAACCCUUGUCACUAGUUGCCAUCAUUUGGUUGGGCACUCUAGUGAGACUGCCGGUGACAAACCGGAGGAAGUGGGGAUGACGUCAAAUCAUCAUGCCCCUUAUGACCUGGGCUACACACGUGCUACAAUGGUUGGUACAACGAGUUGCGAGUCGGUGACGGCGAGCUAAUCUCUUAAAGCCAAUCUCAGUUCGGAUUGUAGGCUGCAACUCGCCUACAUGAAGUCGGAAUCGCUAGUAAUCGCGGAUCAGCACGCCGCGGUGAAUACGUUCCCGGGCCUU